This 444-nucleotide ribosomal RNA is filed under the name uncultured bacterium. Its description in RNAcentral is "bacterial SSU rRNA". It matches the Rfam family "Bacterial small subunit ribosomal RNA", at positions 331 to 792 of the family's 1533-position model. The record is from RNAcentral.
CCAGACUCCUACGGGAGGCAGCAGUGGGGAAUAUUGCACAAUGGGGGAAACCCUGAUGCAGCGACGCCGCGUGAGUGAAGAAGUAUUUCGGUAUGUAAAGCUCUAUCAGCAGGGAAGAAAAUGACGGUACCUGACUAAGAAGCCCCGGCUAACUACGUGCCAGCAGCCGCGGUAAUACGUAGGUGGCAAGCGUUAUCCGGAUUUACUGGGUGUAAAGGGCGUGUAGGCGGGAAAGCAAGUCAGAUGUGAAAGCCCGGGGCUCAACCCCGGGACUGCAUUUGAAACUGUCAGGCUGGAGUGCAGGAGAGGUAAGUGGAAUUCCUAGUGUAGCGGUGAAAUGCGUAGAUAUUAGGAGGAACACCAGUGGCGAAGGCGGCCUGCUGGACGACAACUGACGGUGAGGCGCGAAAGCGUGGGGAGCAAACAGGAUUAGAUACCCCAGUA